UGAAAUGAUAGUAAGAUAAUAGAUUGUGUAAUAAAAAUCGGUACGUAAAAAUAAUUAAACACGGGGUGGCCGAACUUGUAAAUACAUAGCCUCAAAACUGCAUCUAACUAUGCAAAUAUUAUAAAUUUAGCACUAGUUAUAGACACACAAACAUGAAAUAAAACUUGUACAAAAGAUCCCAGCUUAAAAGUAACAACUUAUCGAAAUAUUGAUUUACAAAAAGAUAACACUAUUUGUACAUAAUUUUUUGUACAUUCACAUGGAGCGGGGCCUACUAGAAUAAAAGAACAGGAAAGGUGAUUUCACUAUAAUUCUGACUAGGCACAAGCCCUAUCACAAGAAAUUUUUUUUUUUUUUUUUUUUUUGGGGCAAUAGCUCUGAAAAGACAAAUUGCAUGUCGGGAGAAAUACGAUCGAUAGGAGAUAAUUCAAACCAUCCGAUAAAACAAGUACAACCCCUACAUUCAAACCUCAUUUCUUACCAUUAGCGAGAACUUGUUAUUCGAGCGAACCCCAUCCCAUGUGAGUGUGAGACAUCUUGAUGUAUAAAAAAUUAUGUACACCAAGCGAAGCUUUUACAAAAUAAAAACAGAACGAGUACUGAAAUUGAUUUGGUCAAGAGUUCUCUAUUGUCUAUAUAUAUCCAUACGUUUGUAUGCACGGGGCUGUGCUUCUUAGUGCUUGACCACCCUCUUGGUGUUUAUGAAAUGGUACAAACCAGGGUGGUUCGAUAGUAUUCUCUAUCAUCGUCCGACAAUCUCCAUUGGCAUCCCACCAUCUCAAAUGUCUCACACUCACACUCCAUUAUCUGCACUGAAGGUCAUAAUAUGACUGAAUAUUGACAUUCGGCGAGAUAAUUGUGGUUCAUAUUGUGAUUUUGCACAUAAUUUCGUUUUUAUUUUUUAGGCGUCAAUUCUUUAAAGAGCUUUUGUAAACUGAGCACCUAAAUUAGUCUUUGGGCCACGCAUGGAUCCAUUGACAUAAAUAACUCAAUUAGCCACACAUGGACCAGCCAAUAGUUGCAACAAGAUAUAAACUGAAAUAGGGACUCUUUCAUCCCUUGGUGUACAAAUCUUUUAAAGAAUUUCCAGUAUUUUGAAAAUUUGGGAUUUAACAUUGCUAUGUUAAAACUUUAAAGUAUGCAUUUAANNN
Molecule: long non-coding RNA, 1151 nt
Filed under: Olea europaea (common olive)
Lineage: Eukaryota; Viridiplantae; Streptophyta; Magnoliopsida; Lamiales; Oleaceae
Description: long non-coding RNA (OEUR_LNC004293)
Source: RNAcentral